CGGCGAGUGAAGCGGUAACAGCUCAAAUUUGAAAUCUGGGCCUUUUAGGUCCCGAGUUGUAAUUUGUAGAAGAUGCUUUGGGUGUGGUUCCGGUCUAAGUUCCUUGGAACAGGACGUCAUAGAGGGUGAGAAUCCCGUAUGUGACUGGGUACCUUCGCCCGUGUAAAGCUCUUUCGACGAGUCGAGUUGUUUGGGAAUGCAGCUCAAAAUGGGUGGUAUAUUUCAUCUAAAGCUAAAUAUUGGCCAGAGACCGAUAGCGCACAAGUAGAGUGAUCGAAAGAUGAAAAGCACUUUGGAAAGAGAGUUAAACAGUACGUGAAAUUGUUGAAAGGGAAGCGCUUGUAACCAGACUCGCACGUCGUCGAUCAUCCGGGGUUCUCCCCGGUGCACUCGGCGGCAUUCGGGCCAGCAUCGGUUUGGGUGGUUGGAUAAAAGCUGUGGGAAUGUGGCUCCCCUCGGGGAGUGUUAUAGCCCUCGGUACAAUGCAGCCUACCCGGACCGAGGACCGCGCUUCGGCUAGGAUGCUGGCGUAAUGGUUAUAAGCGACCCGUCUUGAAACACGGACCAAGGAGUCUAACAUCUAUGCGAGUGUUUGAGUGUUAAACUCAUACGCGUAAUUAACGUGAACGGAGGUGAGAACCCGUUAGGGUGCAUCAUCGACCGAUCCUGAUGUCUUCGGAUGGAUUUGAGUAAGAGCAUAGCUGUUGGGACCCGAAAGAUGGUGAACUAUGCCUAAAUAGGGUGAAGCCAGAGGAAACUCUGGUGGAGGCUCGCAGCGGUUCUGACGUGCAAAUCGAUCGUCAAAUUUGGGUAUAGGGGCGAAAGACUAAUCGAACCAU
RNAcentral lists this ribosomal RNA (839 nucleotides) under Phaeohelotium geogenum. RNAcentral's name for it is "eukaryotic LSU rRNA". It matches the Rfam family "Eukaryotic large subunit ribosomal RNA", at positions 87 to 943 of the family's 3401-position model. Lineage: Eukaryota; Fungi; Ascomycota; Leotiomycetes; Helotiales; Helotiaceae. The record is from RNAcentral.